This is a long non-coding RNA of Anguilla anguilla (European eel), 820 nucleotides long. RefSeq lists it as uncharacterized. The transcript is spliced from 3 exons. Lineage: Eukaryota; Metazoa; Chordata; Actinopteri; Anguilliformes; Anguillidae. The record is from RefSeq and is a predicted model, not a curated record.
GAAUAUUUUACCGCCUCCGAGGGAAAAAACAAAUUGUGUGUGAUUUACGCACCGGCGGCGAUGGCUUUUAUUUGUCACGCUGCGAUGAAUUUUAAGCAGGCUUCAGCUGGGACCUCCGCCAGAAUCUCCGCAAGGACCACAAGAGGGCUUUUUGUUCGUUUAGGAGACAUUAAGCGACCUAACGAGCGAACAUUGCAAAUUAAGCCCCUUUUUUCAUGCUUUUGCCGUGUCCUUUUUUUUGAAGGCGGCAGGGAUUCGCGGAACGUGUGUGACCGAAUCAAUGAAGAUCUCGCUAUCUAAUUAAUUUACUACCCCGUUAGCGCUGCUGACACCCGUUAAUUGAGGGGUAAUUAGCGCGGAGCCGCAAUUAUUCCACCCUCCUCUGGAGUGUCAAUCAGAAGCAGUAGGGGGCAGCAUUCAGCUGUAUCCAGCCACCACAAUGGCUGAGGAGAAUGGACAAGAUCAAGACUGUUUACUACAACUCAGAUCAACCGGCCUUUCUUGUUUCUCCAACAAGAUUUUACAUAAGCAGAGGCUGGACCAUUGGCCUUGUUAGGCCACUUUGAAGGACAGCAAAUGGAAUAAUUUUACUCGGACCUGAACCGAGGAUCGCCAGUUUGAUGGAUAUUUCAAAAAAAAGACUGAAAGGUCACGGCGGACUCUCACUUAAUUAUGAAAGAGAGAUCAGCGGGGGACAGAGGGACAGGCACACCGUCACCCACAGUCACCUUUCAUUGUCUUCCCUGACCCCCGAGGAUGAUGUCAUAGAGAAGAGGAUUCUGGAACACGGACCAGAUUAAAGGGCUUGGCUGGGUCUGAA